AGUGAAGAUCUUCCCUCAGAGCCUGGCGAGGGGGCGGGGCCCAGCCAGGAGAGCUGGAGAGGCAGUGAGGGUCUUCCCUCAGAGCCUGGCGAGGGGGCGCGGCCCAGCCAGGAGGGCUGGAGAGGCAGCCAGGACCUUCCCUCAGAGCCUGGCGAGGGAGCGCGGCCCAGCCAGGAGAGCUGGAGAGGCCCGGAGGAUCUUCCUUCAGAGCCUAGCGAGGGGGCGCGACCCAGCCAGGAGAGCUGGAGAGGCAGCGAGGAUCUUCCGUUAGAGCCUGGCGAGGGGGCGGGGCCCAGCCAGGACAGCUGGAGAGGCAGCGAAGAUCUUCCCUCAGAGCCUAGCUAGGGGGCGCGGCCCAGCCAGGAGAGCUGGAGAGGCAGCGAGGAUCUUCCCUCAGAGCCUAGCGAGGGGACGUGGCCCAGCCAGGAGGGCUGGAGAGGCCCGGAGGAUCUUCCCUCAGAGCCUAGCGAGGGGGCGCGACCCAGCCAGUAGAGCUGGAGAGGCCCGGAGGAUCUUCCUUCAGAGCCUAGCGAGGGGGCGCGGCCCAGCCAGGAGAGCUGGAGAGGCCCGGAGGAUCUUCCUUCAGAGCCUAGCGAGGGGGCGCGACCCAGCCAGGAGAGCUGGAGAGGCAGCGAGGAUCUUGGGUUAGAGCCUAGCGAGGGGGCGUGGCCCAGCCAGGAGGGCGGGCGAGGCAGUGAAGAUCUUCCCUCAGAGCCUGGCGAGGGAGCGCGGCCCAACCAGGAGAGCUGGAGAGGCAGCCAGGAUCUUCCCUUAGAGCCCGGCGAGCGGGCGGGGCCCUGCCUACACCCCGACUUCAUCCCAGUGAAGGACGUCGGACUUCUGGCCUCCAGAGCUGUGAGAAAAUACAUUUGAGAUGUUUAAGCCGCCCAAUGUCUGGUCAUUUGUUACAAAAGAUAUGGAAAAUCAACGCACCAGUAACUGGAGAAAAUUGAUCACGACUGAAAGGCAGUGGGCAAAACGUACUGUUGUAGGUCAGCCCAGACCAGAAACUGGUGUUGAAAGGCUCAGGGUGCUCGCCCACAUCAGUGAGGGAGGUGCAGCUGAUGAAGGAAGUGCUGGGUGCAGAAGGGGAUGCUCUGAAAAGGUGGCUUCUGUUUGCAGUUUCAAAGCUCAGAUAUUUCCUGGGAAUAGAAAUUCAUCUCCUGGAAGUAAACGCAAUAGUAAAAUCCAAAUAAGGAGCUGUGGUAUUUGGUGUGACUUAAGAAGUUUUUAAAAUCUGGACUUUGCUCUUGUUAGCUCUGUGCACCUGAGAGACUUUGAACAUGCAUUUUUAAACUGCAGCUUCUCUCUAUAUAAAUGGGCUAUAUGGGAAUUGAACAAUGAGAUCACAUGGACACAGGAAGGGGAAUAUCACACUCUGGGGACUGUGGUGGGGUGGGGGGAGGGGGGAGGGAUAGCAUUGGGAGAUAUACCUAAUGCUAGAUGACGAGUUAGUGGGUGCAGUGCACCAGCAUGGCACAUGUAUACAUAUGUAACUAACCUGCACAAUGUGCACAUGUACCCUAAAACUUAAAGUAUAAUAAAAAAAAAAAUCAAAGGUUAG
Molecule: long non-coding RNA, 1564 nt
Organism: Pan troglodytes (chimpanzee)
Lineage: Eukaryota; Metazoa; Chordata; Mammalia; Primates; Hominidae
Exons: 3
Source: RefSeq, a predicted model, not a curated record